CCACUUCAUGCCUCGAACCCAGGAAGACCAGAUUCGGUUCCAGCUGGAGGCCUUCAUGUUCCAGGGAGGAUACAGUCCUUCUAUCUACAUAACGUGUAUUGUGAAGGCCAGUCUUGCUUCUGCACCCAAUGUGGAGUCA
Molecule: long non-coding RNA, 139 nt
Organism: Sinocyclocheilus grahami
Lineage: Eukaryota; Metazoa; Chordata; Actinopteri; Cypriniformes; Cyprinidae
Exons: 3
Source: RefSeq, a predicted model, not a curated record